AUUGAACGCUGGCGGCAUGCCUUACACAUGCAAGUCGAACGGCAGCACGGGAGCUUGCUCCUGGUGGCGAGUGGCGAACGGGUGAGUAAUGCAUCGGAACGUGCCCUGAAGUGGGGGAUAACGUAGCGAAAGUUACGCUAAUACCGCAUAUUCUGUGAGCAGGAAAGCAGGGGAUCUUCGGACCUUGCGCUUUUGGAGCGGCCGAUGUCGGAUUAGCUAGUUGGUGGGUAAAGGCCCACCAAGGCGACGAUCCGUAGCGGGUCUGAGAGGAUGAUCCGCCACACUGGAACUGAGACACGGUCCAGACUCCUACGGGAGGCAGCAGUGGGGAAUUUUGGACAAUGGGCGCAAGCCUGAUCCAGCCAUGCCGCGUGAGUGAAGAAGGCC
RNAcentral lists this ribosomal RNA (387 nucleotides) under uncultured bacterium. RNAcentral describes it as "bacterial SSU rRNA". It matches the Rfam family "Bacterial small subunit ribosomal RNA", at positions 30 to 416 of the family's 1533-position model. The record is from RNAcentral.